Long non-coding RNA from Mesocricetus auratus (golden hamster), 6868 nucleotides. RefSeq lists it as uncharacterized. The record is from RefSeq and is a predicted model, not a curated record. The transcript has 3 exons. NCBI's taxonomy places the organism in Eukaryota, Metazoa, Chordata, Mammalia, Rodentia, Cricetidae.
CAUCCCGUGGCCCCUCCCGGAGGCCCUCACUCCGAUCCACUCGCCGCGCGCGUGCAAAGCCUGGGAGCGCUCCCCGGCUCGGGAUGGUUACCCCCUCUUUGCAAAGAUCCCAGGGCCCGGAGUCCCACCACCACCACCACCCCGGGUCACACCAGAGAGAGGAGGAGGCGCGGGGUACCGUGGGUGCGGGUCCUGGAGCUCUUCUCCUGGGACCCACCGUGGCUACCUCCCUCUGUGUGUCUGGUUUUCUUUUCCCCCCCCUUAGGCAAACUUUCCCAGGCGCGUUUCGGGGGUGAGCGUGGGAGGGGGGAGGGGACGCACCUCCAAGUUUCCUUUACUGACUUUGGGACUAUCUCCAGUCUCAGCACCCCGCGUCUUGCCCCCUGGGGCAACUGGCCGCGCACCCCCCCCCACACCCGUGGUGAUGGCGGUUCCAAGGUGGCGGGACGGGGUGGGGGCGGCAGGAGAAGCCCAGGUCUGGGUGCGUCUCGGACAGGAGGGCCGCCCCUAGCCGCGCCCGGCUCAGGGGCAGUUCUGGGCGAAGGGGGUUGAUUAUUGAUCGGGUUGAUUGGGUUGCGAGAGGAUCCAGGAGGGACCCGGCCGAUGCGCCCAGAGAAAGAGGCAGCUGGCUGGUUGCGGGGUUGCGUUGGCGACAGGGCCACGGAAGCUCACUUACUCUGGCGGCGAGGGCGCCGGCGGGCUGGGAUAAUUCACGCGGGCGACCCUCGGGCGGUGGUGACGGUGGAGCGGCAGCCAGAGCCCGGGCGGCGGCGCAUCGAUGCGCUGCGGGCUCGAUUGCGUCUCCCUGGGCCAGCUCUUAGGCCGAGAAUGGGGCGGCCGCGGCGCAGCGGGGCUCCGGGGCGCUGCUGGGCGGUUGUGGCUAAAGGUGGCCUCUGGGCCCCCAGGUCCCCGGAGACGCACUGUGUCUGGGGGCCCUGGCAUCCAUUGGAGCCCCCCGAGGCCCACAGUCCACCCUAGGGCCCGCGCCCUGCGCCCCAGGACUAGCCGCAGCCUGAGCGCACUGGAAGCUGCAAACCCUGGCUGGCCUUCCUUCCUUGCUUUCUUCUUCUUCUUUUUCUUUCUUUCUCCCCUUAUUAUUUUAAACUUAUUCUUCUCUCCCCUCUUUUUCAACCCUGUUUCUUUUUCCACGCUCUCUUGUGGUUGUUCUUCAAGUUUUGAAAGUUCACCAGCGUGCUUUCUUUUUCUUGUAGACCUGGAGACCCAAGAUCUCACCCUACCGGUAAGAUCAAAAGUCUCCGGCGGGCUUGGGCUGGGUCCAGACGCCUGCCUGAAUGCAGAUGUGUGGCUGAUGUCCUCCGGGGCUGUGCAGCCCGCUGCAGCGCCUAGGCGCUCUGCGAGCUAACCCGGUGCCAAGAUCCCGGGUGGAGCCGAAAGGCCGGAGACGGCUUGAGGCCGGGCUCCCGGGCUGCCUGCGUGUGUGUGUGUGUGUGUGUGUGUGUGUGUGUGUGUGUGUGUGUGUGUGUGUGUGUGUCGUACCCGUGGGUGGGCACACCCGAGCCGCUUGGUGCCAGUGGCCGCAGAAGCCGAAGCGGCGUCUCCUCUAGGCCGAGGAGACGCGGCCCCAGGGCGCGGGUAACGCUUCUUGCGAGCGAGGGAUCGGUGGUGAGUCGAGUCGGCUGGCCCUGCCGUUGGCCUCACGGGUUCAGGUGGCUACGGGACCCCGCUGGCCUGGACCAGGGUCGUUGCCGCUGGAAGUCAGACCCCGAAGGUCCCCAGCUCACGUUCCAAGCAUGGGGCACCCAUUUGGGCACGCCGGCGGCGACACGCUUACAGUGCUGGGCAAAGCGCUCACAGGGAGUUCGCCCAAAGGAUGCUUCCCUCUCCCUUUCCUUCUCUUUGCUGCUCUCUCAACCUUCGUUCCCUUGCCGCGAACCCCCUCUCCGGUGGCCUAAGGGCCGGUCCUCUUGUUGCCUGCGGGCACCCCUGCUCGCCAGUGCCUUUCCCUCCCUGCUCAGGCGCGGAGCUCUGUGUGAUCCGCCCUAACAUCUGUCCGUCCAACCAUUGGCGCAUCCAUCAGUGUCAAUGGGCUGCACAUUGCAGCGACAGCCUGUCACGCACAAGUCGGGCUGUGCGGUGUGCACACUAUGACCACACUGCCUUGCCCGGUGGGGCACUCAAACAGACCCGGCCGGCUUGGCACUGCUUGGGUUCCUGAUUUCUGCUUGAGUUCUUUUAGCUACAAGCACCUAUUCACCCCUAAUUUGAGGAUUCCAACACGUGCAUAGGUUUUUCAAGUCAUUCUAGAGACGGAACUGAGGAAAGCGGGCAAGGUCAACCUAGUCCUUAUAUUUCACUAGGAUUUAUUUUCUUUUCUGUGGUAGGGCUGGGUGUAACUAAAAGAGAACCCCCCCAAUCGCACAAAAUAGACCGUGAAACUACCUGAAUGCAGGACCUUAAGUCCCUCAACCUGGUCUAGGCUGUGGAGUUCGCCCGCUGCACUUAGCAAGAUUUCAAGUGGGGGAAAAAAAACUUUGCAUAAUCGGGGCUGACUGGGCUUCCCAGGGCUGACUGGAGAAAUGUGGACCGAUGGACUCUCAGUGAAAAGGAAGGAUUCCAUUUAGGGAGAAAUGGUGUCUAGGUAGCAGUAGGUCUGUAAUUCACUUAUUACAAAAAAAGGGGGGGGCAGAACCUUGAGAAACCAGUGCUUGCGGAUAGCCCCUGGCUUUCUGAGCUCCAGUUUUGGCUUCUUUCCGUUCUCGCUCCUUCUGCAACUACCCAGAUGGUAAACACACACACACACACACACACACACACACACACACACACACACAGGUGUCCCUGAUGAGUCUGACCCUCCCCAAGGCCUUCUGUUUGCUCUGAGAAGCUCAGGGGAAGGGUAUAUGCAGGUUCCUACCCCUAUGACAUCUGAAUGAAGUCUACCCGGCAUUUGACCUGACUUUAUUAUUGUUGUAAAUAUUUCUGUCGACUGCCCCGCCGGCAAGCAACCCUUUCGGCGGCACUUAGGGAACUCCGAAGGGAAAAGAGCUGGGUCCGAGCAAGCGCCAAGGUUCCUUUGGGUUCUGGAAAAGGCCAGGAAGGUUUGGGCAGGCACGCUGGGGGAAAGUUGCCUGUGCUUCAGGAUCUGGGCUCCACACACAGCCGUUCAGCUGUUUACACACUCUGCUAGAGGGCAGAAAACCCAUUCAUGGUGGAGGAGAUAGAAUUCUGUAAAGGAUAUACUAUGUAGAAACCCCUUACCCCACUCUUCAUAGAAACUCGGUUACCCUUUAAAGGCAAAGACAGGCUUUCCUUCUCUGUACAAGUACCUUGGAACCUCUGGUCCACUUUGAAUUGUGCUGGGCUAUAAAUGUCUAAGUCAGAUGCUUCUACCUGGAGGUGCUGCAUUUCCGGGAAUAAUCUCUUAAGCCCCUGAAAUAGAAGGAGGAAGAAAGAAUUGAAGGAAAUUAAAACGACUCACCUAAACACCCAGGGGCUAAAGCCCAUGACAGACACUGUGAGCUCUGGUCAGGAGAUUCGCUUUGAAAUCAGGUGGUCAUAUUGUUAGCUCUUGGCAUUCCCUAUAGCCAAGAAGGGGAUCCUGACCCAAGACUGCAUCUCACACUCGGUGGAAACGGGGUGACCCACUGUCUUCAGAUGGGGGAACAGUCUGCAGAAACCUCCAGAGAGAGUUGUCUGGGGCAAGGGUUAGACAUCCUACCCAGCUUUUCCAGUUUUGGACACUAGGUUUCCAUUCCUGGUACCUUUCCAAUCAUAGUCUCAUCCAUCUUGACUAGCCUGAGCCCCCCAAGGGUAGGGCAUUGCCAAGAAGCAUUUGGAGGAGCAAGGGACUGACCCCCCCCCAGCACAAUAUACUGUUUACAAAUGGAAAGUAGUAGCUUGACCACUGCCUGGAGGCAGCCAAGUUUGUGUUCUGGGUGGCAACUAAGGGCAGUUAGAUGACAGCCCUCCUGGUCCAAGGAAGGCUGGGGUAUGUCUUCAGUUGAAUGCCCACCAAGAGGAAGGAGCUGUCCUAAAUGCCACCAUGCCAGGACAAGGACCUAGGGUUGGCUGGCAUCCCCAAGAUACCUAGGACCUAAACUCCUACCUCAGAAAGGGGGUACCUGCUGGGUCCAUGAAAGUGUCACCUUGAAGGGCAAGGACUCUGGGAGCCUUUAGUGAUGGCAAGGGCUACAACCCCCAGGUGGGCCUUGACAGGGAGUCCUAGCCCUGGAUCCUCUCCAGCCUGAAGUGGUUGGGAAAUGUCCUGGACCUGCUUUAUCCCCGUGGCUUUUGUGGGUUAGGCAGAGACUGGGAAAUGCCAUAGGUCCUGAGACUCCUCCUACUUUCACUAUUUGCACACUUCAUUCAGGAAUUGGGCUUUUAGUUGCUACUAAAGCUGGAGGUUAGGUAGGGCCUGAGCCAGGCCCUCCAUGCAGGCGGGUAACUUGUUGGCAAAAGGUGCUUUUACACUGGCAGUGAAGUUUUGUUUCUCUUCUUUUCCCCGGUAGCUGGUAGCUUUGUUUGAAAAAACCAGAUGUUUUGUCUGUGAGUUCUCCCAAGAACUUUUACAGUUGGAACGUGGAAUAAACCUUUGAAAGUCGGGGCAGUAUAUUAAUGUUGCUUCUGUGGGGCUUGUGGAGAGAGCCGUGUCAGAUGCACAGGGGUGGAGGGGGGAACGAUCUUAGAAGAAAAGGAAGAGGGUGGUUUUAUGUAAAAUCAAGAGUUAGUUUGGGGAGGGUGAAGCACUAUCCAGAUCCAACACACCGGACUCACACAAUCAGGCACACACACACACACACACACACACACACACAUACACACACACACCACCCCCAUCAUGGUGUGGUGUCUAAAUUUCUCAAGUCUCGGGACUUGGAGGUGAAGGCUCAACGUUGCCUACGUGGUCAGUGUGAGUCUGCAGGUGUUGAGUGAGCGUCCUUCUCCUGCAGCCUUUGAUGCUGGGAAUCAGUCAGGAUGCGGAUGGGGCGGGUUGGAAGGUAGUUGACCAGAGUAGGGAGGACUUUGUUUAGGAAUCUCAGGGAGGCAGCCUUCCCCCCUUCCCACCCCAAGAAAUUUCCCCUUCUAGUAGCUUCAUUCCCCCACGCCCCAUCCCAGAUUCCCAGGCAGUUAGCAAUGCGUCUAAAGAAAAGUAAAACAAAAACUAAACCUAAUUUAACAGAGGGGCAGAAGAUGAAAAAUUCGGGGUGGGAUAGGGUCUGGACCUAAGCUAGGCAGCCUAGUUAUCCAUUGUGCCCGGUAGGGGUGGGGGUGGGGAGUUGAUUCCUUCUCUCCAUCCCCCCCCCCCACACAGUCUUUCCUGCAUACUCAGCGGGGCAUUUUCAAAUACCUCCGUUUUCUCCCCGAAAUGCUUUUUUUCAUUCGUUUACCGAAGUUUCAGAAAACUUUUUGGAGACCGAAGAUCAAAUAAAGAAAACAGAAAGUCUUAGUAUUUCGGUCUGAAGAGGACGGGACCCGAUUAAACCCAUUUAAAGAGCACAGUCGCCAGUGAAAUACCCUUUAGUCAGAUCCCACCUGCGGAUUGGGGGGGCCCUAAGGAGGAUUUCUCCUUAGGGCUCCCAGUCCUACAUUCUCUCCAACUCCACUGGGUGAAAUAGAUAUUUAGAAACCAUUUGGACAUCUUAAACACAAACAAGACCCGUGUUCAAGAUAGCCAUCGCCAGUCGAGGUGGGACUCGCUCCUGGCUAGGAGUGGGGAUAGCGCUUUGUGGAUGGGGAUGCGGAAGAUGCCCACCUGCUCCCGCGCGGCGGCGGCGAGCGCUCGCAGAUGUUAGUGACUCGAUGCUGGUCAGAACCCCCUCUCCCAUCCCCACCCCCGCCCGGCUCUUCGAAUAAAGGAGGUAGAGGUCCCAGCAGUCAAAACACCGGGUCAUCGAGGAACCAAACAGCCACCUUCCUUACCAAAUGGUCUCAGCAACUGGCCAGGGCAUUCGCCAAACCCCCACGAGGGAUCUCGUUCCCUUUCCUCUCUUCCUGGGGCGCUGCUUGUGCUUUCUAAUUCGCGAUGGUGUUUGGCUGUUUCCACUUCCCAAACGGGGAAGACCGAACACAGCACUGAAUAGGUAAAGAGGGGCGAGAGGCUCUAUUCUUUUCUCUUGGCUAUGUCUUGAAUACUUGAUAAAUACCACUUGUAGUUGGACGAUAGGGGGCCAGGGGGUCAGAUUAUGUAAUAUUCAAGUGGUGUCUGGCCCCCAGGGGCUCUUCUGUCUUAGAAGAUCUAAAGAUCCACAGAAGUCCUUACUAGAUUUUUGUCUUUGCUGCAGCGUGUCUUCCGUCGCUUGUAUUCCCCCCCAUGUUGUUCUCUCUCUUUUUUAAAAGAGUCUCUCUCCUUGACCGUCAAAGAAUUUUUUUAGGCUAUCCAUUUAGGAUCUAUGCGUUCUUCUCCUAGGUCAAAGCAGAGCUGUCACCACCCAGUGCACCAGUUCUGAGGGAACGAACCAGUUUGUGAGCGGCGAAUGGAAUCCGCACCAUCCAGGUCAGAUGGAAAAUAGAAGCUGGGAAAAUUUGACACUCUCAUUGAUCUGCUCUCCUCGAGAGAGAGAGUAUGGCUUCAAGAUUGCAAUUAGGAGCCAGCCUGCUAAGGGGUCCCUCUCUGAGCUCAGGUGCGGCACUGAUCAUGGGUUGCAAGCCCUGCCCCUUGUCUGCUGAGGAAGAGGAGGCUCUUCAUUCAUGGAUCCAAGCUGGAGCUGAACCUGCCGAACCUCCCAAAGAUCACCUGGCGCUUUACUCUCAUUUUUGCACUCACAUGGCAGCUCAUAAUCAUCUGUAACUCCGGGUCCAGAGGAUCUAAUGCCGUCUCUGAUCUCCUUGGGCACCAGGGACUCAAAUGGCGCACAGACAUACAUGUGGGCAAAACAUCCAUGUACAUGAAAUUAAAAGAAUUAUUGCA